Molecule: transfer RNA, 58 nt
Filed under: Loxodonta africana (African savanna elephant)
Lineage: Eukaryota; Metazoa; Chordata; Mammalia; Proboscidea; Elephantidae
Rfam family: tRNA
About the family: Transfer RNA (tRNA) molecules are approximately 80 nucleotides in length. Their secondary structure includes four short double-helical elements and three loops (D, anti-codon, and T loops).
Source: Rfam by way of RNAcentral
UGGCUCAGUGGUUAAAGUGCUAGGCUGCUAACCGACAGGUCGGUGGUUCAAACCCACC